This 207-nucleotide ribosomal RNA is filed under the name uncultured bacterium. RNAcentral describes it as "partial 16S ribosomal RNA". It matches the Rfam family "Bacterial small subunit ribosomal RNA", at positions 568 to 774 of the family's 1533-position model. The record is from RNAcentral.
CGCGUAGGUGGUUAGGCAAGUCGGAUGUGAAAGCCCCGGGCUCAACCUGGGAAUUGCAUUCGAUACUGCUUAGCUAGAGUGCGGUAGAGGGAAGCGGAAUUCCGCAUGUAGCGGUGAAAUGCGUAGAUAUGCGGAGGAACACCAGUGGCGAAGGCGGCUUCCUGGACCGUAACUGACACUGAGGCGCGAAAGCGUGGGGAGCAAACA